AGUGAACGCUGGCGGCGUGCCUAAUACAUGCAAGUCGAACGGAAGGACAGGAAGAUUGCGCCCCUACUGUUAGCGAGGGGCGGGUGGGUGAGGAGUGGAUCAGAUACUUCUUAGACUGGGGUGACAUCGGGAGACAGGAGAUACUACCAGCUCAUAUUAUCUACGGCAUGAUUCAAAGGUGAAUGGCGGUUUUCCCGUCACAAUUAGAUGAUGCCGCGCUGCAUUAGCUAGUUGGUAAGGUAACGGCUCACCAAGGCAACGAUGCUUAGCCGACCUGAGAGGGUGAUCAGCCACACUGGAACUGAGACACGGUCCAGACUCCUACGGGAGGCAGCAGUAGGGAAUCUUCCGCAAAGGGCGAAAGCCUGACGGAGCAACGCCGCGUGAGUGAUGAAGGUCUUCGGGUUGUAAAACCCUUUUAUUGGGAAAGAACAGCUGUGUAAUAAUCCGUGCACGUUCUGACGGUACCUAAUCAGAAAGCCCCGGCUAACUACGUG
RNAcentral lists this ribosomal RNA (497 nucleotides) under uncultured bacterium. RNAcentral's name for it is "partial 16S ribosomal RNA". It matches the Rfam family "Bacterial small subunit ribosomal RNA", at positions 29 to 507 of the family's 1533-position model. The record is from RNAcentral.